Molecule: long non-coding RNA, 764 nt
Organism: Harpegnathos saltator (Jerdon's jumping ant)
Lineage: Eukaryota; Metazoa; Arthropoda; Insecta; Hymenoptera; Formicidae
Exons: 3
Source: RefSeq, a predicted model, not a curated record
CUCUCGUAGAACCGAGCGACGAUUUUAAUCUUCAGAUUCGGUUUCUACACGUCAAAAUACACAAAAUAGAUGAGUUUAAGCGAAAUCCAAGAUGUUGUCAAACUUCUAAAUAAUUACCAUAGAGAUAAUAUUGGAAAUCGCCGUCACAUGAGUUUUACAGUUAACCUAUAUUUUUGAAAAUUAACAUCUUACUAAUCGACAAUAUUGAGUGCAACCAAUUAAUAUGAAAUGGCCUGUCCAAGGAGACUUCUAUCAUUUACUACAAGAGGUGAAAAAUGACCCAUACAUGUUGUUUCGAUAUACAAGAAUGUCCAUAAACAUGUUCAAUCAACUAUUGGAGUUAAUGAGACCUUCUCUGAUAAGAAAAAGUCAUCAAGUAUAGUACCUGAGCAAUGUCUAGCUUUAAGUCUAAGGUAUCUUGCCAUGGGUGACCAAAUAUUGUUCAUUGCAUUAGCUUAGUAGGAGAAUUGUCAGCUCGUAAAGUUAUUAAAGAAACUUGUGCAUCACUUACAACAAUACUAGCACCGAUAUAUCUCCGUGUCCCUGCUGAACAAGGAUAAAAAUAUGUGAAGGAUUUUGGAGAGAAUGGAACUUUCCAAAUUGUUGUAGUACAAUUGAUGGCAAGCACAUGCAAAUACAAACACCACCAAAACAAACUCAGGAAGUUUAUAUUAUAAUUACAAAAAAACAUUUAGCAUAGUGUUAAUGGCAGCAUGUGACAGUAGCUAUAAAUUCACAAUAGAUAAUUGUGAAGCAUAUGGCAG